RNAcentral lists this ribosomal RNA (1421 nucleotides) under metagenome. RNAcentral's name for it is "bacterial LSU rRNA". It matches the Rfam family "Bacterial large subunit ribosomal RNA", at positions 1471 to 2913 of the family's 2925-position model. The record is from RNAcentral.
GACAUAAUGCAACUAGCACAAUCUAAUAAUAAAUAGUUCGUUGAAGGCCGUAGGUAUUGGACCGGUAGGCAAAUCCGCCGGUCUAGCUGAAAGCUGAUAGUACCAAGAGCCUUCGGGCAAUUGGAUAGCGCAGGUAAUCAGACUUCCAAGAAAAACCGCUAAGCUCCAGUCUAUAAAAGCCCGUACCGCAAACCGACACAGGUAUCCGGGAAGAGAAUUCUAAGGUGCUCGAGUGAAUCAUGGCUAAGGAACUCGGCAAAAUGGCCCUGUAACUUCGGGAGAAGGGGCGCUCCGCGCAAGCGGAGCCGCAGUGAAAAGGCCCAGGCGACUGUUUAACAAAAACACAUGGCUUUGCAAAAUCGAAAGAUGAGGUAUAAGGCCUGACACCUGCCCGGUGCUGGAAGGUUAAGAGGGGAUGUCAUCCGCAAGGAGAAGCAUUGAAUCGAAGCCCCAGUAAACGGCGGCCGUAACAAUAACGGUCCUAAGGUAGCGAAAUUCCUUGUCGGGUAAGUUCCGACCUGCACGAAUGGUGUAACGAUCUGGGCGCUGUCUCAGCCAUGAGCUCGGUGAAAUUGUGGUCCCGGUGAAGACGCCGGGUACCCGCAACGGGACGGAAAGACCCCAUGCACCUUCACUACAAUUUAACAUUGACAUUGGAUACAGGAUGUGUAGGAUAGGUGGGAGGCUAUGAAGCGGUGUCGCCAGGCAUCGUGGAGCCAACGUUGAAAUACCACCCUUUCUGUAUUCGGUGUCUAAUCCGCCCUCGGCGGAGACAUUGUUUGAUGGGUAGUUUGACUGGGGUGGUCGCCUCCAAAAAGGUAACGGAGGCUUUCAAAGGUAAGCUCAGUACGCUUGGUAACCGUACGGGGAGUGCAAUAGCAUAAGCUUGCUUGACUGUGAGGCAGACAAGCCGAGCAGGGUCGAAAGACGGAUAUAGUGAUCCGGUGGUUCUGCAUGGAAGGGCCAUCGCUCAAAGGAUAAAAGGUACGCUGGGAUAACAGGCUGAUCUCCCCCAAGAGCUCAUAUCGACGGGGAGGUUUGGCACCUCGAUGUCGGCUCGUCACAUCCUGGGGCUGGAGAAGGUCCCAAGGGUUCGGCUGUUCGCCGAUUAAAGUGGCACGCGAGCUGGGUUCAGAACGUCGCGAGACAGUUCGGUCCCUAUCUGUUGUGGGCGUUGGAAUUUUGAGUGGGGCUGACCUUAGUACGAGAGGACCGGGUUGGACUAGCCUCUAGUGAAUCUGUUGUUCCGCCAGGGGCAUUGCAGAGUAGCUACGCUGGGGACAGAUAAGCGCUGAAAGCAUCUAAGUGCGAAACUGGCCACGAGAUGAGAAUUCCAUAUAGGGCCGUAGAAGACUACUACGUCGAUAGGAUACAGAUGUAAAGGUGGCGACACCACAGUCGAGUAUUACUAAUAGCUCAAA